RNAcentral lists this ribosomal RNA (492 nucleotides) under uncultured bacterium. RNAcentral's name for it is "partial 16S ribosomal RNA". It matches the Rfam family "Bacterial small subunit ribosomal RNA", at positions 29 to 507 of the family's 1533-position model. The record is from RNAcentral.
AGUGAACGCUGGCGGUAGGCCUAACACAUGCAAGUCGAACGGCAGCACAGUAAGAGCUUGCUCUUACGGGUGGCGAGUGGCGGACGGGUGAGGAAUACAUCGGAAUCUACUUUUUCGUGGGGGAUAACGUAGGGAAACUUACGCUAAUACCGCAUACGACCUACGGGUGAAAGCAGGGGAUCUUCGGACCUUGCGCGAUUGAAUGAGCCGAUGUCGGAUUAGCUAGUUGGCGGGGUAAAGGCCCACCAAGGCGACGAUCCGUAGCUGGUCUGAGAGGAUGAUCAGCCACACUGGAACUGAGACACGGUCCAGACUCCUACGGGAGGCAGCAGUGGGGAAUAUUGGACAAAGGGCGCAAGCCUGAUCCAGCCAUCCCGCGUGGGUGAAGAAGGCCUUCGGGUUGUAAAGCCCUUUUGUUGGGAAAGAAAAGCAGCAGGUUAAUACCCCGCUGUUCUGACGGUACCCAAAGAAUAAGCACCGGCUAACUUCGUG